Microtus ochrogaster (prairie vole) is the source of this 93-nucleotide small nucleolar RNA. Lineage: Eukaryota; Metazoa; Chordata; Mammalia; Rodentia; Cricetidae. The record is from Ensembl.
CCGCCCUUGUGAUGUCCAGCAUAGGGCUCUGAUCACGCCAAGGACAUGGUGCCUUGCCCCAAGACCCUUGAUUCCAGGACAUGUGGGGGGCUG